RNAcentral lists this ribosomal RNA (634 nucleotides) under Cnethodonta japonica. Its description in RNAcentral is "eukaryotic LSU rRNA". Lineage: Eukaryota; Metazoa; Arthropoda; Insecta; Lepidoptera; Notodontidae. The record is from RNAcentral.
GGGGUAAACCUGCGAAACUCGAAUGAACGAACGGAGAGAUUCACCGUCACUCCGCGGCGUACGCGUGCGCGUAUUCGGAUGUCUUCGGCCUCGUGUCGGCGGGCACCGCGCGUACGCGUCGACGUCCGCGGACGGCGUGCACUUCUCUCUUAGUAACGAUUACAUCGCAACCCGUUCGACGUCGGCCUAAGCGCCGUCCGGGAGCCCCGCCGCCCCUUAACGGGGGCGACGGGACCGCGACGGACGCCGACCGGCUGUCGGACGGUAUAACGUACGACACGCGCACGCGUUUAUAACGCGUCCGGCCCGACGCAAGUCAACGUCGUAUCCGACGCUCCGCCCGAGGCGGACGUAGGUGCGGCGCGUCUGUUGUCGCAGCCGUGUUGUUUCGGACCGUGCGCGUCUCCGUCUGCGAUGAUCCAGUUUCGGGCACUCGCAGGACCCGUCUUGAAACACGGACCAAGGAGUCUAGCAUGUGUGCGAGUCAUUGAGAUUUCUCACAAUAAACUGAAAGGCGUAACGAAAGUGAAGGCGUGCGCUAGUCGCGCGCUCAGGGAGGAUGGUGUCCCGAUCCAGGUCGGGCGCUCGCACUCCCGAGGCGUCUCGUUUCCAAUCCGUGAAUGCAGGCGCGCUC